This 26-nucleotide non-coding RNA is filed under the name Cricetulus griseus (Chinese hamster). Lineage: Eukaryota; Metazoa; Chordata; Mammalia; Rodentia; Cricetidae. The record is from RNAcentral.
CUAAAGCUGACAUGCAGGUUUUGCCU